This is a small nuclear RNA of Nycticebus coucang (slow loris), 108 nucleotides long. The record is from RefSeq and is a predicted model, not a curated record. Lineage: Eukaryota; Metazoa; Chordata; Mammalia; Primates; Lorisidae.
GCACUGGCUUCAGCAGCACAUCUACUAAAAUUGGACCAAUUCAGAGAAGAUUAGCAUGGCCCCUGCGCAAGGAUGACACGAAAUUCUCAUGAGACAAAAACUAAUACA